AUCGGGGAUCAGAUUCUUAAGAAAUUGGCGGGGAGGCGCACAAGCGGAGGAACAUGUGGUUUAAUUCGAUGAUACGCGAGGAACCUUACCCGGGCUUGAAAUGCAGAUGACAGGGGCAGAGACGCCCCCUCCCCUCGGGGCAUCUGUGUAGGUGCUGCAUGGUUGUCGUCAGCUCGUGCCGUGAGGUGUCGGCUUAAGUGCCAUAACGAGCGCAACCCCUAUCGCCAGUUGCUAGCAGGUCAUGCUGAGGACUCUGGCGAGACUGCCAUCGUAAGAUGCGAGGAAGGUGGGGAUGACGUCAAAUCAGCACGGCCCUUAUGUCCGGGGCGACACACGUGUUACAAUGGGGGGUACAAAGGGCGGCUACCGGGCGACCGGAUGCCAAUCUCCAAAACCCCUCUCAGUUCGGAUCGGAGUCUGCAACUCGACUCCGUGAAGCUGGAUUCGCUAGUAAUCGCGCAUCAGCCACGGCGCGGUGAAUGCGAUCUCGGCCCCUUGCACACACCGCCCGAAUCU
This 516-nucleotide ribosomal RNA is filed under the name Porphyromonas gingivalis. Its description in RNAcentral is "bacterial SSU rRNA". It matches the Rfam family "Bacterial small subunit ribosomal RNA", at positions 885 to 1401 of the family's 1533-position model. Lineage: Bacteria; Pseudomonadati; Bacteroidota; Bacteroidia; Bacteroidales; Porphyromonadaceae. The record is from RNAcentral.